This 465-nucleotide ribosomal RNA is filed under the name Vreelandella stevensii. RNAcentral describes it as "partial 16S ribosomal RNA". It matches the Rfam family "Bacterial small subunit ribosomal RNA", at positions 338 to 795 of the family's 1533-position model. The record is from RNAcentral. Lineage: Bacteria; Pseudomonadati; Pseudomonadota; Gammaproteobacteria; Oceanospirillales; Halomonadaceae.
CCUACGGGGGGCAGCAGUGGGGAAUAUUGGACAAUGGGGGGAACCCUGAUCCAGCCAUGCCGCGUGUGUGAAGAAGGCCCUCGGGUUGUAAAGCACUUUCAGUGAGGAAGAACGCCUGGUGGUUAAUACCCAUCAGGAAAGACAUCACUCACAGAAGAAGCACCGGCUAACUCCGUGCCAGCAGCCGCGGUAAUACGGAGGGUGCGAGCGUUAAUCGGAAUUACUGGGCGUAAAGCGCGCGUAGGUGGCUUGAUAAUCCGGUUGUGAAAGCCCCGGGCUCAACCUGGGAACGGCAUCCGGAACUGUCAAGCUAGAGUGCAGGAGAGGAAGGUAGAAUUCCCGGUGUAGCGGUGAAAUGCGUAGAGAUCGGGAGGAAUACCAGUGGCGAAGGCGGCCUUCUGGACUGACACUGACACUGAGGUGCGAAAGCGUGGGUAGCAAACAGGAUUAGAUACCCCAGUAGUC